GUGGGGAAUAUUGCACAAUGGGCGAAAGCCUGAUGCAGCAACGCCGCGUGAGGGACGACGGCCUUCGGGUUGUAAACCUCUUUUAGUAGGGAAGAAGCGAAAGUGACGGUACCUGCAGAAAUAGCACCGGCUAACUACGUGCCAGCAGCCGCGGUAAUACGUAGGGUGCAAGCGUUAUCCGGAAUUAUUGGGCGUAAAGAGCUCGUAGGCGGUCUGUCGCGUCUGCUGUGAAAACUGGAGGCUCAACCUCCAGCCUGCAGUGGGUACGGGCAGACUAGAGUGCGGUAGGGGAGAUUGGAAUUCCUGGUGUAGCGGUGGAAUGCGCAGAUAUCAGGAGGAACACCGAUGGCGAAGGCAGAUCUCUGGGCCGUAACUGACGCUGAGGAGCGAAAGCGUGGGGAGCGAACAGGAUUAGAUACCCGAGUAGUCC
This 430-nucleotide ribosomal RNA is filed under the name uncultured bacterium. RNAcentral's name for it is "bacterial SSU rRNA". It matches the Rfam family "Bacterial small subunit ribosomal RNA", at positions 354 to 796 of the family's 1533-position model. The record is from RNAcentral.